CCGGGAUUUAUUUUCUCUUUUCAUCAAGAAUAUCAAUACUUCAUCAAUUAUCAUACAAUAAACAUCCAACUCAUUUUCACAUCAAUAACAAACAUUUCAAGCAUUUAAGAAUAUAAUUCAAGUUACACGAACUUACCUCGAUACUUGUUCGUAACAAAAAAUCUACUAAUCCCAAACUUUUUCUUUCCCUCGAUCUUGCUUCGUAUUUGAAUUUUCCGGAUCUAAAUAAAUAAAUUUAAUCAUUAAUCUAAUACAUUUCAUGUUCAUAUGUAACAUUCUCUAAAAUUCCAUUAUUAUUUAUAGUGCA
This 307-nucleotide long non-coding RNA is filed under the name Gossypium barbadense (sea-island cotton). Its description in RNAcentral is "long non-coding RNA (GBAR_LNC019284)". The record is from RNAcentral. Lineage: Eukaryota; Viridiplantae; Streptophyta; Magnoliopsida; Malvales; Malvaceae.